UGUUUCCAAAUAGACCCCCGGCAUCCUUCCCUCCAAGAACUUUCCACCUUGCUCUUGGGGAGACUCGAACUCACAACCUCUCUGUUGAAAGUGGGGUUGCUUACCAUCAGAGCAACCCCUCUUGUCUACAUUAAUAUCAUGUUCAUUUGUUAUAUUCGGACAAGUGUACAAAUGCAAGAUGUGAAUAAAACAAAUACAACUCUAAGACUUUGUGAAUGCAAGUAAUAUAGGACUUUGAAAAAGGAAAACACAUACUUAUAUAGACAGAGUUUUUGUUUUACCAAAAUUUAAAAGCAUCUACAAAACAAAAAUAAGUUCAAGUAUCUUGUUCGUCUUGGGGUCGCUGAGCAACUACUGCCUUCUUCUUCACCUUCGCAAUCCUAUGAACAGAAUUUCAGACUUAAUGCAACAAAAUAUUAAAUGAUAGACCAACAUAAACAAAUCCCGAAGUGUUAGGCAAAAGAGUAACAAUAUUACGCGAAACAACAAACCUACAAUAAUAGCCAAAAUUACCAUAGAUAUGACUAGUUAUGACUAACCGUUAUCUAAAGAAAAGAAGAAAUAGAGUGUAAUAUGAGAUAACAACCAACACCUUACUGGAAACAAUGCGAUGGAAGAGGAAGUCGCGAUGACUGGCACUGAACGAGUUAACCAAAUUUGCAUUUUAGACACAAGCAACAAACCAACAAACAAAAUCAAUAAUUAGAAAGUGUCGGUGUAUUAAAAUUUUAUGCUCUUAAUAGAAAAAACGAGUGACAAGGAAACAAACCUACAAGUUACAACUCGAUUUCAUCGAACGAGUUCGCUAGAGAAAGAGAUGGAGCGGAGCAUGUUCUUCAGUCGAGGGCAUUAUUUGAAACUAGGGCAAAAUUAUUGCUAAAUAGGAUCUAUAUUUGGAGGCGAUACAAUCAACUAGAGGAAUUUGGGCCACGACGGUUGCAAAAUAGCGAUAAAGCAGCAGAGGGAAUUUCGAAAAGGGUGAAAUAUUUUAGUGGUGGGAAAUUUGGAAUUGGGCGAGAUAUUUCAGUGGAUAUCUCUUUAGUAUUUUCACAAUUGGGGGGAAGGGAAAUUUUUGGGGAAAUUUUGGUAGAUAUUUUUAGAGCACACUUUAUAAGUGUUGCUUUUGGGCUGAAAAAAUAUUACCCUCCAAUAGCGUUGUAUUAUUGGUUAAAAG
Molecule: long non-coding RNA, 1174 nt
Filed under: Nicotiana benthamiana
Lineage: Eukaryota; Viridiplantae; Streptophyta; Magnoliopsida; Solanales; Solanaceae
Description: long non-coding RNA (NBEN_LNC031115)
Source: RNAcentral